UACGUAGGUGGCAAGCGUUAUCCGGAUUUACUGGGUGUAAAGGGCGUGUAGGCGGGACUGCAAGUCAGAUGUGAAAAUUACGGGCUCAACCCAUAACCUGCAUUUGAAACUGUGGUUCUUGAGUGAUGGAGAGGCAGGCGGAAUUCCGUGUGUAGCGGUGAAAUGCGUAGAUAUACGGAGGAACACCAGUGGCGAAGGCGGCCUGCUGGACAUUAACUGACGCUGAGGCGCGAAAGCGUGGGGAGCAAACAGG
Molecule: ribosomal RNA, 253 nt
Filed under: uncultured bacterium
Lineage: Bacteria
Description: partial 16S ribosomal RNA
Rfam family: Bacterial small subunit ribosomal RNA
Source: RNAcentral